CGGCAGAGGGCUGCUAACAGGAUCUCGCUCCCGAGCUCGGGCUGAGGGGGAGGGCAGGGGAAGGGAAUUGGGAUGUAAUGGCCAUAAUCAGCCCCCGGCCAGUGACCUUCCGCCUCCUCCCAGUGCGUCCCUGGUGCUCACAGGAAGCCAGAACCAGGGGGCUGGAGGCAGGGUGGGCAUCUCCAGUCAGUGACGGACCCCAGAGGUGGCCAAGUGGCUGCUUCCACAGCACUGGGGUGCUUUAAGGCCACCAAAAACCCUUGCCCGUGCCAGCAGCCACCCGUGAGCAAGGAGCUGGUGCUGCCUCGCAGGCAGACACCCACCCCUGCAGCCGCACACGGGGGUUUCCUCCCCCAGCAAAUUGAAACUGUAAAUAUUGAUAGCCUUUUCUUCCAGGGCUUUUUAAUGCCCUCUGAUACUUAGAAACUAUUAAGUGCACCCAUCAUCACUAACCUGCGAAGUAAAUGCGUCCUAAUGGGCAGGCGAGCUGCGCUCGCCCCAACAAAUCAUUUCUAAUGAAUAGCACCUGGCACAUUCAUCACCGUUAAAUGCCAAAGCAAAUCCAUCUGCGUUAGCCGCUGAAAAGAGCCAGGCAGAGCUCGCGCUCCCCUUCUCUCCAAGGUAGGGGAGGGCUUGGCUCGCAGCGUGUACGUGUGGCUGUUUCUAAUCUCUCCCCGUUCCUGCAGCCAGGAUCCUCGAGGCACGCCGCUCAAUAGCCGGGCUGCUCCCGCACACAAUGGCCAGAGGUCUCUCCGAGCGCCGUGGAAGGUUUUAAAUAGAAACCAGCGCCUCUCCCUCACACGCACACAAUGCUUUCCUGACCCUCUCCUGACCUCACCCUCAAAUCUGGGGUUCACAGCCCCAGCCUUGAACCCGGCUCUGUUUUUUCAUGUUUGGCCUCUCUAUUUCCUGAGGUCAGGCAGCCCACCGCUCCAUUAGCAUGAAGCAACUCAGGGCUCAUUUGCCAAAACUGACAUCCUGGGAAAGUCCUGAUGAAUUUAUGAAUUAGAGGCUACAGAUGCCAGUAAAAGAAUUAAGGACUUAUUUAUUUAUUUUUUUUUAUUAUUUGCAGGAAAUCAGCUGGGAUGCUGCUGUUUUCUUUUUUUUUUUUUUCUGAAAAACGCCAUCAGCCUUGAAACUGCAAAGGCUGCGUCAGCAGCAGUUUGCUUUCAGGGAGGAAAAAACACAUUUUUAAGGGCUUGUUGUUUUGUUUUUGAAAGGAAGGGCCGGGGGAAGAAAGUUGAGCGGGUGGACGAGCGCGGGAGCCGGCGCGGCACAGCGGCCCGGCGGGGCGAGGUGCUCUCACCUUUCAGCACGUAGCGCUUGCAACGCUGCAGAGAGAAGAGGUCAUCUCGUGAGCAAUGCGCAGACAAAUAUCCCCCUGGAGUCGUGAGCCGGCGGUUCCUCGGCUGCACACAUCAAAGGGGAGCUGGUGACAUCACGGAGAUCACAGAAAACAUCAAGUCUGGCUGUCUGGGGGAGAAAAAAAUAGCUCCUCGCAGACCCACAGCUGGUGGGUUUUUUAAUUACACCCGGGCCAAGGAACAUUCCAACCAUAACAUCCUGCAGCCCGCCCGCCACCAGACAACACGUCUUUUAUUAGCCCAGGAAUGUAUCUUUAAUAAACUGGAGCUCUUCGGCUCGGCGGAGGGGCUGGAGGUCCCUUUUGGCCUGGCUGUGGGGUCUGCAGCAGGGCAGCGCACCCCUGCCCGUGGCUGCAAGCUAGGGGAGGGCUUUGUGCUGCUACAGGCAGGGCUCACCCUCUGCAGAGACAAGUUUUGGGGACGCAGCGGCAACCUGACAGCAGCAGGAGAGGCACAGAACGUGGCAGGCUGUGGCCAAAGGCAGCCCCGGGCAGGGUUUGUGCUCGUGGUGAGCAUGGAGAUCGUGGUGCCAGCGGCCUCGUGGUCCCCGAUGUGGCUGGGAGCACCUGCAGGGAGCAGCAGCCCAGCAGCACGGGUGUGUGCCACUGCCCGGAGAAAUCCCUCGCUGGGGGUUUGGGGAAAAAAAUGGAAAGAACAGGUCAGGAAGUCCUGCCACAAUGCCGUGGCCAUGCAGCUGCCAGGUCACGCCUGCUUGUUGGACUCGAGCUCUCUCCAAACCCUACAAAAGCUUUUCCUUUGAGCCCCAACCCCAGGCUGAGCAGCACGCUGGGACCCCCACCCUACAGAAAACCUCAGGGGACAGCAAGGGGGUCCCUGUGUGAGCGGUUUGCUGCUGGCCAGCCCUGGAUUUCAGCACCUCCUUGGGCAUCUCACAGCAUCUCUUCCCCCCAGUCCUACCCAAACCCACCCGUGUCCCUGCAAGCCGAGGGGCUGGCAGCACACCACCCCCUCUGCUGCUUUCUUUAGAGCUUUAAGUGCGGUUAAAGUCAGCAUGACAAAUGAGGGAGUCCAUUUUGCAGCCUUAAUUAUCUCUCCCAUCGUUAGUGUAUGCCUCUGCGUUUGCACAACCUGGGUUUUGGGGUGUUUUCCAUGAAAAUAAUUUUUUUUCUCCAACUCCAAAGCCAUGUUUUUCAUCCUCCUCACCAGAGUCCGUGGAUAUCCCCAUGCACGAAAGCACCACCCCGCAUAAUUCAGCAGGUCUGGGGGGUUUUAUUCACGUUUUUUUCUUCUCCCCACUUAAAGCAGCACCGGAGGAAAUGUGAUGCCGAGCAGUUGCUCCAGCAAGUAACAAAUCUCCCGUAUUGUUCCCUCUCCUUUAUUUAUCCUGAGCGCACUGUAGCAAGGCAGCCUGAAAAAGUGCGUUGUUUUCAGAGGCAUGCAGCCCUGAAAAUGGAUGUUUGCUUUAAUCAAUCUCGGAGGAGCCCGUGGGGGCCGGCAGAGGUGCGGCGCUGGAGAUUUGUUCUAUUGAUUAACCGAGCGCCGAGAUGGGAGGCAUCAAACACUCCGAGUGGAUAAAAGCCUGCUAGGUGAAUAGGGCUAUUGUCGGGUUUGGUUUGCAGGUUAUUGGGUUUGGGGGAUUUUAUUUUUCUUUUCCUACCUGCGGGGCCGAGAGCGAGCCGAAUAACUUUGCUAAUAUUCCUCCCCGCUUCCCCUUUUCAACUUCCCCGGGAAAGGCACCGCGCCGCAGAGACCCCCCCCUCUGCGUGCCAGCCCGAAGUGAGAUUUCACAUUAUUGCAUCUGACAGCUCUCAUUCCUCAGGCGCUUUCUCUUCCCUUCCUCAGAGAAGGAGUAAAAAAAAAAAAAAAAAAA
Molecule: non-coding RNA, 3195 nt
Organism: Anas platyrhynchos (mallard)
Lineage: Eukaryota; Metazoa; Chordata; Aves; Anseriformes; Anatidae
Source: RefSeq, a predicted model, not a curated record